GGAGGGGGCUAGCGUUGUUCGGAAUUACUGGGCGUAAAGCGCACGUAGGCGGGCUGGUUAGUUGGGGUGAAAUCCCGAGGCUCAACCUCGGAACUGCCUCAAUACUGCCAGUCUUGAGUUCGAGAGAGGUGAGUGGAAUUCCUAGUGUAGAGGUGAAAUUCGUAGAUAUUAGGAAGAACACCAGUGGCGAAGGCGGCUCACUGGCUCGAUACUGACGCUGAGGUGCGAAAGCGUGGGGAGCAAACAGGGAUUAGAUACCCUGGUAGUCCACGCCGUAAACGAUGAACGCUAGCCCGUCGGCAGGCAUGCCCUGUCGGUGGCGCAGCUAACGCAUUAAGCAUUCCGCCUGGGGAGUACGGUCGCAAGAUUA
RNAcentral lists this ribosomal RNA (370 nucleotides) under uncultured organism. RNAcentral describes it as "partial 16S ribosomal RNA". It matches the Rfam family "Bacterial small subunit ribosomal RNA", at positions 527 to 896 of the family's 1533-position model. The record is from RNAcentral.